UGCCAGCCGCCGCGGUAAUACGGGGGGUGCAAGCGUUAAUCGGAAUUACUGGGCGUAAAGCGCGCGUAGGCGGUUUGUUAAGUCAGAUGUGAAAGCCCUGGGCUCAACCUGGGAAUUGCAUUUGAUACUGGCAGACUAGAGUAUGGUAGAGGUAAGCGGAAUUUCCAGUGUAGCAGUGAAAUGCGUAGAGAUUGGAAGGAAUAUCGAUGGCGAAGGCAGCUUACUGGGCCAAUACUGACGCUGAGGUGCGAAAGCGUGGGUAGCGAACGGGAUUAGAUA
This 279-nucleotide ribosomal RNA is filed under the name uncultured bacterium. RNAcentral's name for it is "partial 16S ribosomal RNA". It matches the Rfam family "Bacterial small subunit ribosomal RNA", at positions 506 to 784 of the family's 1533-position model. The record is from RNAcentral.